Molecule: non-coding RNA, 202 nt
Filed under: Clostridium sp.
Lineage: Bacteria; Bacillati; Bacillota; Clostridia; Eubacteriales; Clostridiaceae
Description: T-box sequence
Rfam family: T-box leader
About the family: Uncharged tRNA acts as the effector for transcription antitermination of genes in the T-box leader family. T-boxes are found upstream of many aminoacyl-tRNA synthetase genes and some amino acid biosynthetic genes usually in Gram-positive bacteria. The anticodon of a specific tRNA base pairs to a specifier sequence within the T-box motif, and the NCCA acceptor tail of the tRNA base pairs to a conserved bulge in the T-box antiterminator hairpin.
Source: RNAcentral
GUAAAUUCAUUGAAGAGGAGAGUAGUUUACUAGAUUUCUAAAGCGAGUGGGGGAUGGUGUAAGCCCCAUAGAAUAUAGUAAAUGAAGAGAGCCUUGGAGAAACACCCGAAAAAGUAGGGCAGUCGUUUGCUGCGUUAAAGCUUGGAGUGGACUACAUAUGUAGUCAAAUGGAGUGGUACCGCGGAAUUAACCCGUCUCUAUG